Bufo bufo (common toad) is the source of this 273-nucleotide long non-coding RNA. RefSeq lists it as uncharacterized. The transcript has 3 exons. The record is from RefSeq and is a predicted model, not a curated record. NCBI's taxonomy places the organism in Eukaryota, Metazoa, Chordata, Amphibia, Anura, Bufonidae.
UUCGCCCCUUCUUGGAGAAAAUAAAUUAAAGGUGGAAUGCAUAUCUGCAGAGCUGUGGACUACAAAGAUACUACUGGCGCCAGUAAGUGAGGAACUUUGAUUGUUCAAUUGAAAAACAGCUUGUUGAAAACUCUCUGCAAAAUCUACUAGGAGUUAUCAAAGACUAUUCCAUUGUGAAGUUGUGGCUCACACGUACAAGCGGAGAUCAUACCCUGACUAUUACGCGGGACGCCGCGGAUUGCUGAUCUGAGCCGCCUAAGUACAUUUAUUAUG